Molecule: ribosomal RNA, 436 nt
Filed under: Candidatus Omnitrophota bacterium
Lineage: Bacteria; Pseudomonadati; Candidatus Omnitrophota
Description: bacterial SSU rRNA
Rfam family: Bacterial small subunit ribosomal RNA
Source: RNAcentral
CCUUUGGAGGGUUUGAUCCUGGCUCAGAGUGAACGCUGGCGGCGUGGAUUAGGCAUGCAAGUCGAGCGAUGUUUUUUUAAAGAUAAGUCCUUUCGGGGGCUUGUCCUGAAAAAGCAUAGCGGCAAACGGGUGAGUAACACGUGGGUAAUCUACCCUGGAGAGGAGGAUAGCUUCGAGAAAUCGGAGGUAAUACUCCAUACAGUCCUGCCAUCAAUUUGGCAGGAUGAAGGAUGGCUGAGGACUUCGGUCCGCUGUCGCUUUAGGAGGAGCCCGCGGCCUAUCAGGUAGUUGGUGGAGUAAGAGCCUACCAAGCCAAAGACGGGUAGCUGGCAUUAGCGUGUGGUCAGCCACAUCGGGACUGAGACACUGCCCGGACUCCUACGGGAGGCUGCAGUCGAGAAUCUUUCCCAAUGGGCGAAAGCCUGAGGAUGCGACG